RNAcentral lists this unclassified non-coding RNA (27 nucleotides) under Dictyostelium discoideum. Lineage: Eukaryota; Evosea; Eumycetozoa; Dictyosteliales; Dictyosteliaceae. The record is from RNAcentral.
CUGAAACCUUGUUUGACCAUUGAUGGU